GCCUGGGUGGCUCAGUCGGUUGAGUGUCCGACUUUGGCUCAGGUCAUGUUCUCAUGGUUCGUGGGUUCGAGCCCCGCCUCGGGCU
Non-coding RNA from Panthera uncia (snow leopard), 85 nucleotides. Lineage: Eukaryota; Metazoa; Chordata; Mammalia; Carnivora; Felidae. The record is from the annotation of a RefSeq genome assembly.